CAACUUGUUUGCUUCCUUGUUGUUUUAUUGCAUUCGAGAUCUUUACUAUUUUCACUGUCGAAAAUGCAGAGCAGAUCUUUAGUAUCUUGAAUUAUCAGUUAAAUUUGUUAGUUGUGAGAUGCAUAUGAUUCUGGCUUCAUUCACAACCAUUCAUGUGGUUUCUUCGGUUUGGUUGGUCGCUGCUGGUACUUCCAUGCCAUCUGAUUAUGUGGUAGAGUGCUUCGGAACUGUGUGUGGGGCCGGGUGUUGUCAGCCAGACCUGGGCGCCCUCGCCGGCGACUUGCUAUCUAACCCAUCCACAGGUACCAUCAGCUAUGACCCUAAUGGACCCCAAAUAAAAAGGAGAAAACAUUUGACACUUAUCGUGGCCAACCAUGAAACCGUGUUUCAGAAACUGCAUCAUAGCACAUAUUUCAACCAUCGUUUCCUGGUUUGUAAUAUGUACUAGCCUUCUGAAAAAGACUGAGGCUGCACUUGUUCCUGUCAGGUUGUCAUGUUACAAAAAGGCCUAUCUACAAAUAGGUGGACAAGAUAAAACAUUAAAAUAGACUAGAGCAUUUU
Triticum aestivum (bread wheat) is the source of this 561-nucleotide long non-coding RNA. RefSeq lists it as uncharacterized. The record is from RefSeq and is a predicted model, not a curated record. The transcript is spliced from 3 exons. NCBI's taxonomy places the organism in Eukaryota, Viridiplantae, Streptophyta, Magnoliopsida, Poales, Poaceae.